This 253-nucleotide ribosomal RNA is filed under the name uncultured bacterium. RNAcentral describes it as "partial 16S ribosomal RNA". It matches the Rfam family "Bacterial small subunit ribosomal RNA", at positions 524 to 776 of the family's 1533-position model. The record is from RNAcentral.
GACGGAGGGGGCUAGCGUUGUUCGGAAUUACUGGGCGUAAAGGGCGCGUAGGCGGAUUAGUAAGUUGGAAGUGAAAUCCCGGGGCUUAACCUCGGAACUGCUUUCAAAACUGCUAAUCUAGAGUAAAGUAGGGGAUGAUGGAAUUCCUAGUGUAGAGGUGAAAUUCUUAGAUAUUAGGAGGAACACCGGUGGCGAAGGCGAUCAUCUGGGCUUUUACUGACGCUGAGGCGCGAAAGCGUGGGGAGCAAACAGG